This is a long non-coding RNA of Oncorhynchus tshawytscha (Chinook salmon), 2132 nucleotides long. The record is from Ensembl. NCBI's taxonomy places the organism in Eukaryota, Metazoa, Chordata, Actinopteri, Salmoniformes, Salmonidae.
UUGGACUAGUAACCGGAAGGUUGCAAGUUCAAAUCCCCGAGCUGACAAGACUGAACAACAACCGUACUGUACAAUGUCGCAGAGGUGAAAAUCAUCACUCCCCAAUCAGACAACAAUCAAUCAUCAAUCAGAAGACAUACCUCCUCCUGUUUCCUACCCUAUCACAGUUCCUUUCCCUUGGUUUAAAAACCCCAUCAGUUGUUUGCUCUAGAGCUCAAUCUCUCUGUAAAUGCCAUGUAUGUAGAUCUCUGUGUUUCACUCUCUCUUUGUGUCUUAACCUCUCUUUUGUUUGAGCACCUCCAAAUCACUUUGUCAUCUCCUGUGAGUAUUGUUUUUGGUUAUGGUGUUUGUGUUUGAUUGCUGGUGGGAAAAGGGGAAACCAAGACAAGUCGCCCAUGGGCAUACACUACCCGUAGGUAGACUUUGUUAAAAACACUAGUUAGAACUGGGCGGACCACCCACUGUAUUUUUGGUUAGUUAGGUAGCUGUUGUUAAAAUAGGCUAGUCUAGCUUAGGGGUGUUUUGGAUGCUUAUUGUUUCUUUCCUUGGGUCCAGCUUAGCCCCUUUUCCUGCUCCCCCCAUUACCGUGUGUUUUACAAUAAACCCUGAGUUUGACGGUAUAAUUUCAGUUAUCGUGGUUAUUUCGUUCACACUUUGACUUUGUCACAAUUAUAAUUUGCAUGAGUUAUGUUACGGGUCUCAUUACCAUCCCCCCUAGACUGUCGGGCCAAAAGGGAUUCGUAACACUCCAGCUUCAGCGAUUUUUGCAAUUCGUUCCAGCCAUUGGCAGCAAAGAACUGGAAGGCAGCCAAAGGUGGUGUUGGCUUUGGGGUGACUAGUGAGAUAUACCUGCUGGAGCACGUGCUACGGGUGGGCGUUGUUAUCGUGACCAGUGAGCUGAGAUAAGGUGGAGCUUUACCUAGCAUAGACUUAUUGAUGACCUGGAGCCAGUGGGUCAGGCGACGAAUAUGUAGCGAGGGCCAGCCGACAAUAGCAUACAGGUCGCAGUGGUGGGUGGUAUAUGGGGCUUUGGUGACAAAACGGAUGGCAUGGUGAUAGACUGCAUCCAGUUUGCUGAGUAGAGUGUUGGAGGCUAUUUUGUAAAUUACAUCGCCGAAGUCAAAGAUCGGUAGGAUAGUCAGUUUUACGAGGGUAUGUUUGGCGACGUGAGUGAAGGAGGCUUUGUUGCGAAAUAGGAAGCCGAUUCUAGAUUUAAUUUUGGAUUGGGGAUUUUUAAUAUGAAUCUGGAAGGAGAGUUUACAGUCUCGCCCGACACCUAGGUAUUUGUAGUUGUCCUCAUGUUCUAAUUCAGAACCUUCCAGAGUAGUGAUGCUAGUCGGGCGGGCGGGUGUGGGCAGCGAACGGUUGAAAAGCACGCAUUUAGUUUUACUAUCGUUUAAGAGCAGUUGGAGGCCACGGAAGGAGUGUUGUAUGGCAUUGAAGCUCGUUUGGAUCUUUUUUUUUAUACAAUGUCCAAAGAAGGGCCAGAUGUAUACAGAAUGGUGUCGCCUGCGUAGAGGUGGAUCAGGGAAUCACCCGCAGCAAGAGCGACAUCGUUGAUAUAUACAGAGAAAAUGGUCGGCCCGAGAAUUGAACCCCGUGGUAGCCCCAUAGAGACUGCCAGAGGUCCGAGAGUUUACAUACACUAGGUUGGAGUCAUUAAAACUCAUUUUUCAACCACUCCACAAAUUUCUUGUUAACAAACUAUAGUUUUGGCAAGUCGGAUAGUGCAUCUACUUUGUGCAUGACAAGUAAUAUUUCAACGAUUGUUUACAGACGGGUAAUUUCACCUAUAAUUCACUGUAUCACAAUUCCAAUGGCAUUCCAGAGGGACAUCAGAGACUGUAACGUUCUUUGCUUCACGGAAACAUGGCUCACUGGAGAGACGCAAUCCGAAGCGGUGCAGCCAGCGGGUUUCUCCACGCAUCGCGCCGACAGAAACAAACAUCUUUCUGGUAAGAAGACGGGCGGGGGCGUAUGUCUUAUGGCCAACGUGACAUGGUGUGAUGAAAGAAACAUACAGGAACUCAAAUCCUUCUGUUCACCUGAUUUAGAAUUCCUCACAAUCAAAUGUAGACCGCAUUAUCUACCAAGAGAAUUCUCUUCGAUUAUAAUCACAGCCGUAUAUAUCC